Molecule: microRNA, 21 nt
Filed under: Marchantia polymorpha subsp. ruderalis
Lineage: Eukaryota; Viridiplantae; Streptophyta; Marchantiopsida; Marchantiales; Marchantiaceae
Source: RNAcentral
GACCUCAACAGCAGCAGCGAC